UACGUAGGGCGCAAGCGUUGUCCGGAAUUAUUGGGCGUAAAGAGCUCGUAGGCGGUCCGUUGCGUCUGCCGUGAAAACCCGAGGCUUAACCUCGGGCCUGCGGUGGAUACGGGCGGACUAGAGGUAGGUAGGGGAGAAUGGAAUUCCCGGUGUAGCGGUGAAAUGCGCAGAUAUCGGGAGGAACACCGGUGGCGAAGGCGGUUCUCUGGGCCUUACCUGACGCUGAGGAGCGAAAGCUAGGGGAGCAAACGGG
This 253-nucleotide ribosomal RNA is filed under the name uncultured bacterium. RNAcentral's name for it is "partial 16S ribosomal RNA". It matches the Rfam family "Bacterial small subunit ribosomal RNA", at positions 524 to 776 of the family's 1533-position model. The record is from RNAcentral.